AUGUCAUAUGGUGUAGAUACAAAUUGGUAUAUGGAUACAGGUGCCACUAAUCAUAUCACUGGAGAGCUGGACAAGCUGACGAUGCAUGAAAAGUACAGUGGCAAUGAUCAAAUCUACACAGCUGCAAAUGGUCCAGGUAUGGAAAUUAGUCAUAUUGGAAAAUCAAUCAUUGAAACCCCACACACAAAUCUUGAACUCAAUGGCAUCUUGCAUGUUCCUAAUGCUGCUAAGAAUCUUCUAUCUGUCCAUAGAAUUGCUCUUGAUAAUAAUGUGUUUCUAGAGUUUCACCCUUUCUUCUUUUUGAUCAAGGAUCAGGUCACGAAGAGGGUUCUUCAUAGGGGUAUUUGUGUGCAAGGGCUCUACUCGUUGCUUCCCAAGUAUUGCAAAUUCAAUAAACAAGUCUAUGGUUGUAUCAAGCUUUCUGCUGAAAGGUGGCAUAGUCGAUUAGGUCAUCCGUCUUUUGCUACUGUUCAUCAAAUUCUUAGUAGGAAUAAAAUCCCAAUUGUUGGUGAGAGAAAUUUAGAAACUGUGUGUGAUUCAUGUCAAAAAGCAAAAAGUCAUCAACUACCAUAUCCUGUCUCUACUAGUGUGUCUACAAAACCCUUGCAACUUAUUUUCUCUAAUGUUUGGGGCUCAGCACCCACCUCUGUUGGUCGACACUCUUACUAUGUGAGCUUUAUUGAUGACUUUAGCAAAUAUACUUGGAUAUAUCUUCUUAAAAAGCGUUCAGAUGUGUUUCAAGUUUUCCACAAUUUUCAAGCCCUCGUUGAACGCAAGUUUGAUUGCAAAAUUUUUGCCAUGCAGUCAGACUGGGGUGGUGAGUAUGAAAAAUUGAAUUCCUUCUUUCAACAAAUAGGUAUAUCUCACCAUGUGUCAUGCCCUCACGCACACCAACAAAACGGCUCUGCUGAACGCAAGCAUAGGCAUGUUGUUGAAGUAGGGUUAGCUCUUCUCGCUAAUGCCUCUAUGCCCCUCAAAUUUUAG
This 984-nucleotide ribosomal RNA is filed under the name Triticum aestivum (bread wheat). Its description in RNAcentral is "partial small subunit ribosomal RNA". Lineage: Eukaryota; Viridiplantae; Streptophyta; Magnoliopsida; Poales; Poaceae. The record is from RNAcentral.